This 112-nucleotide ribosomal RNA is filed under the name Staphylococcus aureus. Lineage: Bacteria; Bacillati; Bacillota; Bacilli; Caryophanales; Staphylococcaceae. The record is from RNAcentral.
UGGUGACUAUAGCAAGGAGGUCACACCUGUUCCCAUGCCGAACACAGAAGUUAAGCUCCUUAGCGUCGAUGGUAGUCAAAAGUAAACACAAAGAAAAAUGGCUUGGCGAAGU